UCAUGAAUAUAUGAGUUUUGUUGGUUGUCCUAUUUGAGAUUCUUGAUCUAUCUUAUGAUUAAUAGUUCCUUGUGCUAUGGUGUGAUUUUAAUUUGGUGCCUUACUUAUGUUGCCUCUUUGAUGAUAGCCUCGUUGUGGAUAUGUUUGACUACUUUUUCUAAUUCAUAGUGUUGGUAUAAAAGAGUUAUAAUGCAUCUCGUGGUGUAAUUCACAACUUAAUGCAUCUGUUAGUGUAAUUCAGAAUAUAAUGCAUCCAUACUUUCUACUUCUUACUGUUAUAAUGUGUAUGCUACUUUAAUUCAUAUGAUAGUUAUUGUUUUCUAAUUCAUUAGUUCAGUCUUUGCUAUCUAUAUAAAUUGCUUACUUGUAGGAAGUGAGAGAUGGUAAAACCUAUGCAAGUUUAUGAGUCUACCCAAGUUCACACAAAUGAUUAUAUAAGCUAGUUAACUUGAUUAUGAUACCUACAAUCAUACUGCAGAAAUAUAACAUGAAAGGAAAACCCAAUAUCGUAUUGAGGAUCAUGGAGCAACGUCACGAAGGGAUGCCUAGAUAUUUGUAUGAAGUUUUAAUUCUGAUACAAUUGUUUUAAAUGUCUAGCCACUAGUAUUUUGGUUUAUGAAUGUUUAAACUAUGUAUUUUAUCUAUUGUUUUGAUUGUUAAUAUUGAAAGAAUUAUAUUUAUGGGAUUUAGAUAUUUUUAGUUAUAUAUUUAUGUAUUUUAAGUAUUUAUUAAUAUAUUUAUUUAAAUUGUCAACAAAAAUUGCCCCA
RNAcentral lists this long non-coding RNA (767 nucleotides) under Medicago truncatula (barrel medic). RNAcentral describes it as "long non-coding RNA (MTRU_LNC000498)". Lineage: Eukaryota; Viridiplantae; Streptophyta; Magnoliopsida; Fabales; Fabaceae. The record is from RNAcentral.